CAAACUGGAGAUGGCGACCGGCGCACGGGUGAGUAACACGUAUCCAACCUGCCGAUAACUCGGGGAUAGCCUUUCGAAAGAAAGAUUAAUACCCGAUGGUAUAAUAAAACCGCAUGGUUUAAUUAUUAAAGAAUUUCGGUUAUCGAUGGGGAUGCGUUCCAUUAGGCAGUUGGUGAGGUAACGGCUCACCAAACCUUCGAUGGAUAGGGGUUCUGAGAGGAAGGUCCCUCACAUUGGAACUGAGACACGGUCCAA
RNAcentral lists this ribosomal RNA (255 nucleotides) under uncultured bacterium. RNAcentral's name for it is "partial 16S ribosomal RNA". It matches the Rfam family "Bacterial small subunit ribosomal RNA", at positions 77 to 334 of the family's 1533-position model. The record is from RNAcentral.